This 505-nucleotide ribosomal RNA is filed under the name uncultured bacterium. Its description in RNAcentral is "bacterial SSU rRNA". It matches the Rfam family "Bacterial small subunit ribosomal RNA", at positions 917 to 1421 of the family's 1533-position model. The record is from RNAcentral.
GGGCCCGCACAAGCGGUGGAGCAUGUGGUUUAAUUCGACGCAACGCGAAGAACCUUACCUGGGCUCGAACGGCUAGUCAACGACGGUGGAAACAUCGUUACUCCGCAAGGGGGUCUAGUCGAGGUGCUGCAUGGCUGUCGUCAGCUCGUGUCGUGAGAUGUUGGGUUAAGUCCCGCAACGAGCGCAACCCUUGCCCUGUGUUGCCACUCCGAAAGGAAGCACUCUCAGGGGACCGCCAGCGAUAAGUUGGAGGAAGGUGGGGACGACGUCAAGUCAUCAUGGCCUUUAUGUCCAGGGCCACACACGUGCUACAAUGGCCGGUACAAAACGACGCAAACCCGCGAGGGGGAGCAAAUCGGCAAAAACCGGUCUCAGUUCGGAUUGCAGGCUGCAAUUCGCCUGCAUGAAGCUGGAAUCGCUAGUAAUGGCGCAUCAGCAUGGCGCCGUGAAUACGUUCCCGGGCCUUGUACACACCGCCCGUCACAUCACGAAAGUGGGUUGUACG